RNAcentral lists this ribosomal RNA (438 nucleotides) under uncultured bacterium. Its description in RNAcentral is "bacterial SSU rRNA". It matches the Rfam family "Bacterial small subunit ribosomal RNA", at positions 30 to 468 of the family's 1533-position model. The record is from RNAcentral.
AUUGAACGCUGGCGGCAUGCCUUACACAUGCAAGUCGAACGGCAGCACGGGAGCUUGCUCCUGGUGGCGAGUGGCGAACGGGUGAGUAAUACAUCGGAACGUACCCUGAAGUGGGGGAUAACGUAGCGAAAGUUACGCUAAUACCGCAUAUUCUGUGAGCAGGAAAGAGGGGGAUCGCAAGACCUCUUGCUUUAGGAGCGGCCGAUGUCGGAUUAGCUAGUUGGUGAGGUAAAGGCUCACCAAGGCGACGAUCCGUAGCGGGUCUGAGAGGAUGAUCCGCCACACUGGGACUGAGACACGGCCCAGACUCCUACGGGAGGCAGCAGUGGGGGAAUUUUGGACAAUGGGCGCAAGCCUGAUCCAGCCAUGCCGCGUGAGUGAAGAAGGCCUGGUGUAAGACUCUUCGUGGGAGAAGUAGUCACAGGAGUAAUAACCUUA